Molecule: ribosomal RNA, 251 nt
Filed under: uncultured prokaryote
Description: partial 16S rRNA
Rfam family: Bacterial small subunit ribosomal RNA
Source: RNAcentral
ACGUAGGGGGCGAGCGUUAUUCGGAAUUACUGGGUGUAAAGGGUAUGUAGGCGGCCCUUCAAGUCGCGUGUCAAAGUCCAGUGCUCAACGCUGGGUGUGCGCGCGAUACUGACGGGCUUGAGGGCUGGAGAGGUGACCGGAAUUCCCGGUGUAGUGUUAAAAUCCGUAGAUAUCGGGAGAAACUCCAGAGGCGCAGGCGGCUCACUAGACAGGUUCUGACGCUAAGAUCCGAAAGCGUGGGGAGCAAACAG